GUAGAUAUAGUUUCAACAAAAACAUUAGAUUGUGAUUCUAAAAACAGGGGUUGAAAUCCCCUUAUCCACC
RNAcentral lists this transfer RNA (70 nucleotides) under Epinephelus lanceolatus (giant grouper). RNAcentral describes it as "tRNA-His". It matches the Rfam family "tRNA". From Rfam's summary of the family: Transfer RNA (tRNA) molecules are approximately 80 nucleotides in length. Their secondary structure includes four short double-helical elements and three loops (D, anti-codon, and T loops). Further hydrogen bonds mediate the characteristic L-shaped molecular structure. tRNAs have two regions of fundamental functional importance: the anti-codon, which is responsible for specific mRNA codon recognition, and the 3' end, to which the tRNAs corresponding amino acid is attached (by aminoacyl-tRNA synthetases). tRNAs cope with the degeneracy of the genetic code in two manners: having more than one tRNA (with a specific anti-codon) for a particular amino acid; and 'wobble' base-pairing, i.e. permitting non-standard base-pairing at the 3rd anti-codon position. Lineage: Eukaryota; Metazoa; Chordata; Actinopteri; Perciformes; Serranidae. RNAcentral also lists the same sequence under 3 other names. The record is from RNAcentral.